Pezoporus flaviventris is the source of this 984-nucleotide long non-coding RNA. RefSeq lists it as uncharacterized. The record is from RefSeq and is a predicted model, not a curated record. NCBI's taxonomy places the organism in Eukaryota, Metazoa, Chordata, Aves, Psittaciformes, Psittacidae. The transcript has 2 exons.
AAGGCUAGGUUCCUUAGUAAGGGCGUGGGGAGAGGUGGGACUACCCCAUAGGAUCCUGUGGGGAGGCCAGGCCCCUCCAUAAGUGUUAGAGAUGAGGAUCGGCCCUCCUACAAGGGCCUGUGGGGGAACAGAAUCCUUUAUAAAGUGCUGUGUGGAGGCCAAGCUCCUCUACAGGAGCCUGGGAGGGAGGUAAGUUCCCCUACUGAGGACCGGCUGGGAGGCCAGGAUCAUCUCUAGGAGCCGGGAAAGAAUCCAAACUUCUCUAUAAGGGAGUGGCCAGGCUCCCCCUAAAAGGACUGGCAGGGAGGCAAGGCUCAUCUAGAGGAGCCUAGGAGGAGGCCAGCUUCGCCUAUAGGGACCUGUGGAGGGGCCAGGCUCUCCUGUAACGCCCCCGGUGCGGAGGGGGGUGGGGAGGGAGUCUCCUCCAUAAGAGUCUGGGACAAGGCCAGGUGUCUCUAUAAGGGUCUGUGGGGAGGUCCAGCUGCCGCUAUAGGGAAUGCGAGGUAAGAAACCAAGGCCCUACUACUGAGGCUGGGGAGUGUGAGUUCUCUUCUUUCUACUUGUGCCGUAGCAGGACCCGGAAGUGCCACCGGAGCGGGGCAGCCUGUCUGCAGUGCCUGAGGCAUCUCCAGCCGCAGCGGGGCUCCAGUCUCAGCCUGGGGGACCAGGCGUCACUGACCCUUUUGAUCCCUACUCAGGUGCUCAGCUGCCCCAGGGAGCCACCGCUGGAGCCGAGGCCAUGCCCCACUGGAGCAGAAGUGAUUGCAGCCAGUCCCCAGAUGGAGGAGUCCCUGCAGAGCUCAGUCCCUCCUUGCAGAAGACAUUGUAGUCAAAGACCUAAUGAUCUUGAACAGCUGGGAGUAACUGGAAACACCACCACACUGGCCAGACCAACAGUGUCUUCUGCCUGGAGAACCUACAAACAGGAUCAACAGCAUCUAGUGAUGUAGCCGUCAACUGUGGCAUAAUCAGGCUCACCUGAAA